GAUGAACGCUAGCGGCAGGCCUAAUACAUGCAAGACGAACGGUAAGUUGAGUAGCAAUACUUAGCCAAGAGUGUCGUACGGGUGCGUAACACGUAUGCAACCUACCCUAUACAGGAGGAUAGCCUAGGGAAACCUGGAUUAACCCUUCAUAGUAUUAUUGGAUGGCAUCAUUUGAUAAUUAAAACUUAGGUGGUAUAGGAUGGGCAUGCGUCUGAUUAGUUAGUUGGCGGGGUAAUGGCCCACCAAGACGAUGAUCAUAGGGGUUCUGAGAGGAAGACUCCCCACACUGGCACUGAGAUACGGGCCAGACUCCUACGGGAGGCAGCAGUAGGGAAUAUUGGUCAAUGGAUGCAAGUCUGAACCAGCCAU
RNAcentral lists this ribosomal RNA (369 nucleotides) under uncultured bacterium. RNAcentral describes it as "bacterial SSU rRNA". It matches the Rfam family "Bacterial small subunit ribosomal RNA", at positions 28 to 395 of the family's 1533-position model. The record is from RNAcentral.